This 859-nucleotide long non-coding RNA is filed under the name Zonotrichia albicollis (white-throated sparrow). RNAcentral's name for it is "lncRNA (ENSZALG00000008924.1)". The record is from RNAcentral. Lineage: Eukaryota; Metazoa; Chordata; Aves; Passeriformes; Passerellidae.
GCUCACUUCAUCUCAGAUCUCCUACUUAGACUUUCACUUAUUAGAGCUCAAUUCUUCAUCUAGGCUACCUCAUUUCUAGGGUAUUUAAUUAAGUAUUUCUGGGGGUUUUAAUAUUCAAAUGUUUACUUGCUAAUGCUCACUCCUUACUUAACGCCUUAACAAAUGGUUUCUCUCCCUGGUCCAGGUAAAUAUGAGUUCAAGUAUUCAUACAGACAGAGGAGCCCUCAUGAAAAGAAUCCAUGUCUGAGCCCAACUUAAAUCUCUGAGUGCUAAGAGCACCUUGCUGGGAAAUUAGAGACCGUGAUUUGAGGUCCUUCUCCCUUUCCCUCAAGACACAGGACCUACAGGAUGAAAAGGUGAGGAAUAUGCCUACAGUCUCUCUGCAAGGAUCUGCAACCUCAUCCAGCCUCUUCUAUUGCCAUCAAGUCAGAUAUCAAGGGAGGCAUCCUUUCAGCUUGUGCUGUGAACUCACUUGCCCACUCAGCUACUUCAGUGAAUGUGACAAGCUGCCAGGACAAGUAUAAUGUGCUUCACCCACCAACUGUCCUUCUUAUGCUCAUUUGCACAUGGAAGAAGAAACAGGAGCCCUUUGGAUCUAUAUAACUGAAGUCCAACAAUUCACAUUUUCCCUUCAACUGGAAAUUCAGAUGUUUUCUUUUUCAUGGCCAUGAGGAGAUCAUCCACAAACAGCACUUUAUAGAGCUGUCAGCACCACCAACAUUAGAGCCUCUACCCUGGGGAAGGGAAACACUGAAAGUUCCCUCAGAGCACGCCACAUCUUUAAUACAAAUCUGCUAAAUAGAUAUUUUCAUAAUGAAUUAUUUUCUGAUGAAUGAAUAAGCUUUUUCCAAUGAGUCAG